CCUACGGGGGGCUGCAGUGGGGAAUAUUGGACAAUGGGGGCAACCCUGAUCCAGCCAUGCCGCGUGUGUGAAGAAGGCCCUCGGGUUGUAAAGCACUUUCAGUGAGGAAGAACGCCUGGUGGUUAAUACCCAUCAGGAAAGACAUCACUCACAGAAGAAGCACCGGCUAACUCCGUGCCAGCAGCCGCGGUAAUACGGAGGGUGCGAGCGUUAAUCGGAAUUACUGGGCGUAAAGCGCGCGUAGGUGGCUUGAUAAGCCGGUUGUGAAAGCCCCGGGCUCAACCUGGGAACGGCAUCCGGAACUGUCAAGCUAGAGUGCAGGAGAGGAAGGUAGAAUUCCCGGUGUAGCGGUGAAAUGCGUAGAGAUCGGGAGGAAUACCAGUGGCGAGGGCGGCCUUCUGGACUGACACUGACACUGAGGUGCGAAAGCGUGGGUAGCAAACAGGAUUAGAUACCCGAGUAGUC
This 465-nucleotide ribosomal RNA is filed under the name Vreelandella stevensii. Its description in RNAcentral is "partial 16S ribosomal RNA". It matches the Rfam family "Bacterial small subunit ribosomal RNA", at positions 338 to 795 of the family's 1533-position model. Lineage: Bacteria; Pseudomonadati; Pseudomonadota; Gammaproteobacteria; Oceanospirillales; Halomonadaceae. The record is from RNAcentral.